Long non-coding RNA from Zingiber officinale, 376 nucleotides. RefSeq lists it as uncharacterized. The transcript has 2 exons. NCBI's taxonomy places the organism in Eukaryota, Viridiplantae, Streptophyta, Magnoliopsida, Zingiberales, Zingiberaceae. The record is from RefSeq and is a predicted model, not a curated record.
CUGUUAUACUUUCCUGAUGUACAAUUAAGUUUAGGCUCAUGGUGUCUUAAUGCUGUGAUAAUGUCCUUAAGGUGCAAUGGAAUGUUCUUGCUGAGUUCUUGGACAUAACAUACCUGUUGGAGGUGAGGACAACACCUUCAAAGAUACGAUAGAAGACAUGGGGGACGAAGUAGGCGAGGAGGUGGGAUGGAUGCAUGAUACACAGUCCAGGGGCACUAGAGCUUGUUAGCAACUUGUGUUCCUUGAGGGUUAUGUGGUUGUAUGUAGGAGACUAUUUGUUUUCUCAUGUUGAUUCGGGUUUAUGAAAAUUUUCACUCAGAAAGAUAAAAUGUUGAGUUUUGAUGUUGGUAAGCAAUGAAAUAUUCUUUAUGUGUGA